RNAcentral lists this small nuclear RNA (99 nucleotides) under Procavia capensis (Cape rock hyrax). The record is from RNAcentral. Lineage: Eukaryota; Metazoa; Chordata; Mammalia; Hyracoidea; Procaviidae.
GUGCUCAUUUUGGCAGCACAAAUACUAAAAUUAGAAUGAUACAGAGAAGAUUAACAUGACCCCUGCGCCAUGCAAAUUCAGGAAGUGUUCUGUAUUUUU